CAGUCGUUGCACAGGCACUUUGGUGACUCUAGAUAACCUAGGGCCGAUCGCAUGUCCCCGUGACAGCGACGAUACAUUUGGAUGUCUGCCCUAUCAACUUUCGAUGUUACUUUCUGUGCCUACCAUAGUGACCAUGGGUAAUAUGGAAUCAGGGUUUGAUUCCAGAGAGGGAGCCUGAGAAACGGCUACCACAUCAAAGGAAGGCAGCAGGCACGCCAAUUACUCAUUCCCGACACGGGGAGGUAGUGA
This is a non-coding RNA of Pelobates cultripes (western spadefoot toad), 249 nucleotides long. The record is from the annotation of a GenBank genome assembly. Lineage: Eukaryota; Metazoa; Chordata; Amphibia; Anura; Pelobatidae.